This 819-nucleotide ribosomal RNA is filed under the name uncultured bacterium. RNAcentral's name for it is "bacterial SSU rRNA". It matches the Rfam family "Bacterial small subunit ribosomal RNA", at positions 78 to 897 of the family's 1533-position model. The record is from RNAcentral.
GCUUGCAUCAGAUGACGAGUGGCGCACGGGUGCGGAACGCGUAUGGAACCUGCCUCUGUCAGGGGAAUAGCCCAUGGAAACGUGGAUUAAUGCCCCAUGGUAUCCUAGUACUGCAUGGUAUUAGGAUUAAAGAUUUAUCGGACAGAGAUGGCCAUGCGUAUCAUUAGCUAGUUGGUAAGGUAACGGCUUACCAAGGCAACGAUGAUUAGGGGCCCUGAGAGGGGGAUCCCCCACACUGGUACUGAGACACGGACCAGACUCCUACGGGAGGCAGCAGUGAGGAAUAUUGGACAAUGGUGGGAACACUGAUCCAGCCAUGCCGCGUGCAGGAUGACUGCCCUAUGGGUUGUAAACUGCUUUUAUACGGGAAGAAACCCAGGUACGUGUACCUGGCUGACGGUACCGUAAGAAUAAGGACCGGCUAACUCCGUGCCAGCAGCCGCGGUAAUACGGAGGGUCCGAGCGUUAUCCGGAAUCAUUGGGUUUAAAGGGUCCGUAGGCGGGCCUAUAAGUCAGAGGUGAAAGGCCACGGCUCAACCGUGGGACUGCCUUUGAUACUGUAGGUCUUGAGUUACAGUGGGGUUGCCGGAACAUGUGGUGUAGCGGUGAAAUGCAUAGAUAUCACAUAGAACACCAAUCGCGAAGGCAGGUGGCCAACUGUAUACUGACGCUGAUGGACGAAAGCGUGGGGAGCGAACGGGAUUAGAUACCCCGGUAGUCCACGCCGUAAACGAUGGACACUAGCUGUGGGGUUUUCGGACUCCGUGGCCAAGCGAAAGUGAUAAGUGUCCCACCUGGGGAGUACGUUCGCAAGAAUGA